Molecule: long non-coding RNA, 1935 nt
Organism: Pyrus x bretschneideri (Chinese white pear)
Lineage: Eukaryota; Viridiplantae; Streptophyta; Magnoliopsida; Rosales; Rosaceae
Exons: 2
Source: RefSeq, a predicted model, not a curated record
UUCUUCAUUCAUAGCCAGUUUCAAUGUUUGUGUACUGCUACCUGUUUUUUUGACUCAUGGUUCCGGCACUUACCCAAAUUAAAUGCUUCUUCUCUGUGCUAGCCGAAAUGUGGUUGCAACCACUGGAAUAAUGUAGUGUGCGUGUUCAAAAGUCUAAAGCUGCUGCAAGUAAAGACUUUGAACACCUUCAUUUAUUUUGCAUGGAUAGAUUUCAACACUAGCUAGGUUUAGGAAGUCUUUGUUUGCAUUUGUUUAUUAAAACCACUUGUGUGGUUCUUCUGUUUUUGCAAGUAUAAGAAAGCCUUCCCGUAAGGCUCUUUGUAAUCCUAUUCCAUUUUCAGCAGUUGAGUUUGUAAACUCCUUUUAAUAUAUCAAAGUGCAAGUGUUUUGCCGAAGCUGCUUGUUUCCCUCCUUUCUCUAUUUCUUUUGUCCAAAUUUACUGAGAGUGCAAAGUGAGAGGUGUGAUAGAGUUUGUAAACUUAUCACCCUGAGUUUGUAAACUCCUUUUAAUAUAUCAAAGUGCAAGUGUUUUGCCGAAGCUGCUUGUUUCCCUCCUUUCUCUAUUUCUUUUGUCCAAAUUUACUGAGAGUGCAAAGUGAGAGGUGUGAUAGAGUUUGUAAAUUUAUCUCCCACAUAUUUUGGUAUUGAGUUGGUAAACUUCUAAAUACCAAGAGUUAAGACAAAGAAGAAAUGCAUAACGAUCUCCAUUUCUACAACUCAUACAAAAGGAUCUCCUUUUUCUCAUAAAAAUGAAACUAAGAAUGUUUGGAAAUGAGCAUGCAUUUCAGCCCUUCCCUUAGAGAAUGUUGUAUAUACUGUCACCAUACAUAAAUUAAUAAUUUAAAUCACUCUGAGAGGAUCUGGGCAUAGCAAAUUUGACUAGAUAGAGAAGUCUAACCCCUUUGCACCUAAGUUCAAAUUCCUAUCCACGUCGUUUAGAUUAGAUUAGAUUAGAUUAGAGUAUUGCUUGAAUAAUGUAUGUUACACUGUCACUUAGCGGGUUUUCAAUUUUGCCAAUGGAUGUGAUUUUUGAGCCCCAAAAACUAGUCUUCAACAUUUAGUUAUGUAAGUAUUGGGAUAUUACUUAAUUUUACAGAAGUUUCGUUGAUCGGAUUCGGAGCAACGGAUCAUAGUAGUUUUUCCUGAUUAGUGUAAUUUCACUACUAAAUGCACUUACUAUUACAUAAUGAAAUUCCAGAAGACCCCAAAAGUCCAAGAAUCACACAAUUAUUUAUGAAAAGAAUCAUAUAAUUAGUUCUUGAUCGCAUGUUAUUCCUGUAAAAUGUCAUUCACAACCCAUUUGGCGAAAUUCGAUCUCUCAUAAUUUCAGUAUAUAUCAAUAAGCAAGCAAAAGCAUCUGAUGCCAACAGCCUUUUAAGUGCAGCUAUGCUUUUUUUUGCCAAUACCGGUUAUUCCAUUCUCUUCCAAACACCUUUUAUCAUAACUUGUUAUUCUAAUUCCAUUUCUACACUUGUGCCCUGCACUUAUAAAGAGGGUAGUUUCAGAAGCAGCCAAUAUUCACAACACAGACAUUAAAUUUUUCGUAUAUUUGCGAAAAGAGAGUUAAUUUAGAGAAGUAUGGCAUCAAUGAAGGUGGAUAGGCAAGUCGGCACUCAGCUGUUUGGGCCGGCCAAGAAAGAACCUGCCGUUGCCAAGGCUGGUGAUGCCAAAGCUCCGGCAUCUAAAGCCACCCCAAAGAAGGCCGCAGCCGCACCAAAGUCUCCGGCACCCAAGAAGAAGGGUAAAGGUGGCAAAUCUGCAGCAAAGAACUGACCAAAUUGCUGAUGAGGCAUGCAGCAAAAGAAACGAUUUCAUUUCGUUUUCUCGUAAUAUUUUGUGUUUUUGGAUUUUGUAAUCAGCAAGGUGUGUAAGGAUGGUAACUUUGAUGUAAUCCACGUAACCCAUCCCAAAGAAAUAAAAACUCGUGUUUAGCUA